UACGUAGGGUGCAAGCGUUGUCCGGAAUUAUUGGGCGUAAAGAGCUCGUAGGCGGUUUGUCGCGUCUGCCGUGAAAGUCCGGGGCUCAACUCCGGAUCUGCGGUGGGUACGGGCAGACUAGAGUGAUGUAGGGGAGACUGGAAUUCCUGGUGUAGCGGUGAAAUGCGCAGAUAUCAGGAGGAACACCAGUGGCGAAGGCGGCUUACUGGUCCAUAACUGACGCUGAGGUGCGAAAGCGUGGGGAGCAAACAGG
This 253-nucleotide ribosomal RNA is filed under the name uncultured bacterium. Its description in RNAcentral is "partial 16S ribosomal RNA". It matches the Rfam family "Bacterial small subunit ribosomal RNA", at positions 524 to 776 of the family's 1533-position model. The record is from RNAcentral.